UCAGAGGCUCUGGAAACACAGGAAGUGGGAUGCAGGAUGACAUGGAGAGCUCUGACUACAAUAAUGUGAAGCCUGAAUCAGUGAAAGGUCCAUAAAGAGAAGAGCAUCGUCAGCAAAGCAAGAGACUCAUGGACAAUGACACGAAAAACAACGUGUUGACAACAUAUCUACAACAGUUUAGUCCGUCCUUUCUGUUCAGAUGGGUGCGCAGUGUUUGAAAGAUUUACAUGAUCUCGCACAAUUCUUGGAGAUCUGACCUGAAAAGUUAAGACUGCUCUGGUGAUUUGUGUUUGUGUUCAUUAUCUCUUCUCUG
Long non-coding RNA from Mugil cephalus (flathead mullet), 313 nucleotides. RefSeq lists it as uncharacterized. Lineage: Eukaryota; Metazoa; Chordata; Actinopteri; Mugiliformes; Mugilidae. The transcript is spliced from 3 exons. The record is from RefSeq and is a predicted model, not a curated record.